This 430-nucleotide ribosomal RNA is filed under the name Styracotechys dicelysma. RNAcentral's name for it is "eukaryotic LSU rRNA". The record is from RNAcentral. Lineage: Eukaryota; Metazoa; Arthropoda; Insecta; Hymenoptera; Pergidae.
CCCGAAAGAUCGAAAGGGGAGAUUCAUCGUCGACGUCGUUGGCUUCGCCGCGGUUCGCGAUGUCGCGGACCAUUGCGUUCGUGGCACGCGUCCGCGUUGCUGAUGUCCGGCGUCGUCGGCGUGCACUUCUCUCCUAGUAGGACGUCGCGACCCGUUGGGCGUCGGCAUAAGGCCCGUUUGGUAGACUGUCGCGUGGCGUUCGCGCGCCUCGCGUCAGACCAUUUUGGUUGCCCGGCCGGCUGCCCGGCGGUACUCGCACGGUAUAGAGCCGCAAUUGAACUUGCGCCCAGCCCGUCGCAAGCGCGGUCAGCGUUUCCCGGUGGUCGGACCUAGCGCCGUCCCCGGGCCUGACCAGCUGUUAGCUGACGGUGUCCUCGGGCGGGCUCACACGAAAUACCGGUCGGCGACGCUUUUGCUUUGGGUACUUUCA